GAUGAACGCUAGCUACAGGCUUAACACAUGCAAGUCGAGGGGCAGCAUGGUCUUAGCUUGCUAAGACUGAUGGCGACCGGCGCACGGGUGAGUAACGCGUAUCCAAUCUACCCAUGGCUCAGGGAUAGCCUUUCGAAAGAAAGAUUAAUACCUGAUGGUUUCGCUUUUCCGCAUGGUUUGGCGAAUAAAGAUUUAUCGGCGAUGGAUGAGGAUGCGACUGAUUAGCUAGUUGGCGGGGUAACGGCCUACCAAAUCUACGAUCAUUAGCCGAACUGAGAGGUUGAACGGCCACAUUGGAACUGAGAAACGGUCCAGACUCC
Molecule: ribosomal RNA, 320 nt
Filed under: uncultured Bacteroidales bacterium
Lineage: Bacteria; Pseudomonadati; Bacteroidota; Bacteroidia; Bacteroidales
Description: bacterial SSU rRNA
Rfam family: Bacterial small subunit ribosomal RNA
Source: RNAcentral